GCAACAGAACAAGGCUCUGUCUAAAAAUCAAAUCAAAUCAAAUCAAACUCUAUCACCAUCACCUGGGUAGUUCCUUCCAUUCUCCUAUGACUUCCAAUAAGUCAUUAGCAGGUCACCUAUCAUCUCUUUAAUUUCUUCAAAAACAAAAUCUCAAACUUGCAUUUGGGAAACUGAGAAACUUUCAGGAAACACAGAAACACGUCUUCAGGACCUUGGACAGCAGGGGAAAAAAAAAAAAAAACGCCCCCAGCCCCAGCCCAAAGCAGGACACUCACACCAGCAAGACUGCUGAGGAAAUGUGACAUCUCAACAUGCUGAUGAGGGAAAGAACGAAUAAAGGGCCAUACAGUCAUCAAUGGAGAGUGUUCGGGGAGGUAUGAAGACUCAGGCUACAACAGUCAAGAGGACCCCUGGGCCCUACAGAAUGCCUAGUCCGACUUCCUAAUACUCUAAGCCAGAGAAGGACAUUCUCUACACCUACAUUACAGCCAACUUCCCUCUUCAGACAUUGAUUUUUAAAAGAAUAUAUAGAAUAGAAUAUUGAGACCUUUUCAAAUUCCUUAGGGAAAAAUGCAUAAAAACAGAACUUGCAGUUCAUGGAUCUAGAAAUAGCCUUACAAAUGAUAAAGAAAAUUUCACAAAGGUAAAAUAUCUCACCAAGGUAGAGUAACACAAGAGCUGUUGACCCAGGAUUAGUCCUUGGACAGUUUUUUUUAAUUUAUAAUUGGUGAGUGGCUAAAGAUCUGGAUGAUUCUUCUAGCUCGGCCACACACCAGAUGUGUGACCUUUGGCAAAUUACUCAAUCAUGCUGGGUUCCUUCUUUGAACUGAGCCCCCACCCCCACCCCAUGUGUUAGGCACUGUUAGGGAAUGAAAAACAAAAUCAAUCUCCAUGCUAAAGUAGCUCUCCAGUGUAGCACAGUUCAGAUAUGAAAAUAUCAAUAAUCCAACAAUACUAGUUAAACAUAUAAAAGUAGUAUAGAGAAGAACAUUAACAACCUGAUGUUUAGAGCAAGAUUAGGAGGGUUUCACAAUAUAAGCAAAGGGAAAUCCAGGAAGAGGAAAGUAAAAGCAUCAAGCGAUGCAACAGGGCAUUAGAUUUAGGAAACCAUCAAUAAUUUAGUUUUGAUGGAUGGCAAUGGUGGGGAGAGAUACAGGGUAAUGAAACCUAUCAUAUACUGAUGUUGUGGAAGUCAAAUGAGACAAGUCACUAUAGAUAAUCAUUAGCUACUAUUAUGCCAACAGCUAUCCCUAUGAGAAAAAAAUUGCUUAAUUUAAUAUUUAUAGAAAACCUAUUUGCUCACUAUACUAGGGGCAGCUCCUUUCGGUCCCUUCCUAAAGAAAUAGAGCCAGUUUGAAAAACAGGGAAAUCAAGUUCCAUACUUUCCUAGUCUAUGAAACACCAGUCAAGAGGUAAAAGUGCUUCCUCUAUCCAUAUCCUGAUUCUUCCACUGAAAUGUCACUUAGUGGAGCACAUCUUUUACUUGUGUGAUUUGAAAACAAGGCUUUGCCUAUAGACCAGGGUAUGCAAGGGAUCACCUCUGGGACGAUCUCAUGGCACUGAGCACUCAAGCAAGGUGGUAACGUAAGAGUCAGACUUGAUAAAGUCCAUUUCCCAGGACCACUUGACAAUAACGGCACAGAAAAGUGGUCUGAGGAAUAAUCUUCACACUAUUACCAUUUUCAGCCUCUUGUACUUAAUACUAAUUUUCUUAGUUUCCUAUAAUUAGGUAUGUACACAUGAGCUAGUAGCAGCCACAGUCCUACAAUCUGACUAGUUCAUGCCCAACUCCAUGCCUGCAUCAGGGACAUCUGGCUAUUGUAGUGUCACAGAAAGUCUCUUCUCUGGUGAAGAGUAUCUAGAGACACCCAUGAAUUUUAAUAUCUAUACCCUGUACUGGUUUGAACAGUGUCCCCCAAACUCAGGUCCACCCAGAACCUCAGAAUGUAAUCUUAUUUGGAAAUAGGGUCUUUGAAGAUACAAUCAAGUUAAGAUGAGGUCAUACUGAAUUAAAGGUGAACCCUUAAUUCAACAACUAGUUUCCCUGUAAGAGGGAAACUUGGAUGCAGAGAGACACACCCACAGAGAUGGAGGGAGAGAUUGGAGUGAUGAGUCUACAAGCCAAAGAAUGCCAAAGAUUGCCGGCAAAUGCCAAAAGCUGGGAGAGAGGCAGGAAAGAGAUGCUCCCUCAGACCCUCCAGGAGGAACCAACCUGGCUGACACUUGGAUUUCAGACUUCUGGCCUCCAGAAUUUUGAGAGAAUACAUUUCUGUUGUUUUAAACCACCCAGUUUUUGGUAGCUUGUUAAAGCAGCCCUAGGAAAUGAAUGUAUACCACCACCACUCCACAGUACAUCUAUUUUCCUUCUAUAUGCCCAACUUUUUUAUCUUCUCAGAGGAUGGUUAUAAACCCUAGUUAUUGUAUCAACACACAGGAAGGGACACUGAGCAGAACAGCAGGAGAAUGAACAAUUAGUAUCAGAUUAGCAACUUCACAGGUAAGGUAAAGGGCAUGAGAAUUUACUUCUGAAGGCUCUAUAAUAUGACACUCUUUAAAAACCUUGUGGUUUUUGUAUAUACAUCUACGCGUUCUUUGAUAUGCUUCCUUUGAAAAGGCAGAGCCUAAUUCCCCUCCCUUUGAGUGUGGUCAGUGCUCGAUGACUUGCUUCUAACAAACAGAAGUGAUAGAUGUGAAUUAGGUCAUUAAAAACACUGUAGCUUUCUCCCUGCUCUCGCUCUUAAAUAACUUGCUCUGGAGGAUGCUAGCAGCCAUGCCAUGAAGAUACUCUAAAAGGAGAUUUAUGUGACAGGAAACACACCUUCUGCCUCAGGCACACCCAGCACACUGCCAGGCACAUGAGUGAACCACCUUGGAAGAGGAUCCUCCAGCCCUGCUCACACUUUCAGAACUGCAUUCCCAGCUGAUAUCAACUGGAACCACAUUAGACUCUGAGCCAGAGCCACUCAGCUAUGCCAUUUCCAGAUUCCUAACCACGCAAACUGUGAGACAAGUUUAUUGUUUUCAACCAUUAAUCUUUGGAGAAAAACAGGGCAAUAGAUAACUAACACAAGAACCUUUAACAUAGUCUUCAAGUCCUUGUAAGUACUCUUCCUGCCUACAAGAUACCCACUAUGUGAUUUCUUCCUGCCUCUAACAUACCUCUGGAACAAGUGCAAUUCCAAAUCCCUUAAUCCGAGCUAGAGCAUAGAAUUCACAGGACCUCUGCCUUUGUCCUCCUCCAGCUCAGACACUGACGUCCAUAUCAUGAAUGCGCUAACAAAGGGAGAAUCAUGAGUGGAAUCCAGUAUCAGUAGCUGGGAGCAAAGGACACUUGAGUCUGCUUCUUGGUAAACCCAAACCAUGACAUCUUUCAUCUUUUGAGCCAACUCUAACUUGGAAUACAGUACAGUGAAGAAAAUCUAAAGCUGCAUCUCAUUCAACAGGAAUGAAUGUAAUAUAGUAACAUUGGUCCUCACCAUGGCAAGGAAAGUGGUGGCUCUUCAAAUCUGAAUGAUGAAAGACCUGUGUUUGGACUUUGAGACAAAAAGCUGUUAAUGAAGGCUGUUAACCAGCAGUUACAGUGUCUUGUUUUAGAGUUACUUCUUUCCAUAAUGUACAAGUGGAUCAAAGGGUGGCAAGACUGAAGGUAGGAAAACCAAUUAGGAAGUGAGAAACUCGCAACUGGAAAAUAGGACAGGAUAUCUACCUGGAUGACCACCCACAUCAUUGACCAAAAUGGAGAAAGCACACUAAGUUAUCAAGAAUAAAUCAAUCUGUGUUGCAUAAGUGGCCACAAGUACUGGGAUCACCUACCCAUUGAGCCCCUAAAUUUAACUAGCAAAGAGUGGGAAAUAAAGAAGGCCAAGGGACCAAUGAUGAGCACCGGGAACUGAUGGCUCUUUUUGAUACUAAGACCAAAUUAGGAACGCGAAGCACUGACAAUGCUGCCCCAUCCACCACUGAUUUUUACCAAGGAGUACUUAGCAAAAUCAAAAGAAGAACUUGUAUCCUCAAGAUGGUAUCACAAUGGGCCUACUGAAAACUAAAUCUUAUGACUUUUUAGGAAUUUAGAGAUGAUCACUCCACGAGACACUGAAAUAGUGUCUAGCUUGGCAAGGUAGAAGUCUGUUUCUCUGACAUGUGAUAGUCUUGUUGUAAGUAGUCCUGGACUAAAAUGCUGUCAGCAACAUAGACUUCCUCAGUGUUCCUGCUCUGGAACUCCCAAGGCAGUGGUUCCCAAACUCUGCUGCACACUGAAAUCACUUGAUUUUUUAAAACAACGAUAUCUGGCUUCCACCCUGAGACAUUCUCAUUUGAUUGGUACACAUGGUGUGACCUGGGAACUGGGAUUUUUAAAGUUCCCCAGGUAAUUCUAACAUGCAGCAAAGUCUGGAGAUGACUACCCUAAGGAACUGGGCCCACCGCAUGGUCUGAGAGGGCUUACCGCCAUACCUGCACUGCACUCCAAACAGUGGGACAAAGCAAGGGGCACGAACCAGAAGCUGCACACACCAUCUCUGCUCACCCUCACUGGCCAGUCACAUGGCCAUACCUGGUUGCAUGAGAUUCUGAAAAAUGUAACUUGUAUUCAUCCAGCCAUGUGCCCAGCUAAAAAUUUUUAUUCAGCAAGAAGAGGAAGGCACGUAUUGGAAGAUAACCAGCAAUCUCUCCCACCCCGACACUUGUCUUUUUCAAACAGAAGCAGCCCAAUGUGGCAAAAGCACUGAUCCUUAGAUUUGGAGACAAAACAACAACGGGCUUCUCUGACUUUUGUCAGACAUCUUACACAUCACAUGUAGAUAUAGUCAGAGACUGUAACGAAUCAUUGCCAGUGGGAGGAAGAUACAAGCUUGGAGAUAUGCAUCAGAAUGACUACCCAUGCAAAUUCCUGAAUUUGAGUGAGGUGUUGGAGGAAUAAAUUGUUCUAUGGGACAAAAUCAGGUGCAAUAUCAAAAUUCCAUGUACCCACUCAGUUGACUGAAUACAGUGAAACAUUUCCAGUACAACAAUAUAGGAAAACUUCAAAUAAUGGGGUAUUCUCGAAUUUCUACUAAACACAUCAUCUCUGGCCUGACACUAUCUUGUUAAACUAUUUGUUGAGACUCUUCACUCUAGAUUUGCUUGGUGCUGCCUUUGCAUUCAAGUCCUGUUUUCCAGAAGAAAUACAGACAUAAUCCAAUUGUAAUUUCAUCACCAUGCAUCUUGGAUGCUGCAGUUAGCCUAAAUAAAAUAUACUAAUCAUA
Non-coding RNA from Macaca mulatta (Rhesus monkey), 5243 nucleotides. The record is from RefSeq and is a predicted model, not a curated record. NCBI's taxonomy places the organism in Eukaryota, Metazoa, Chordata, Mammalia, Primates, Cercopithecidae.